Molecule: ribosomal RNA, 312 nt
Filed under: uncultured bacterium
Lineage: Bacteria
Description: bacterial SSU rRNA
Rfam family: Bacterial small subunit ribosomal RNA
Source: RNAcentral
GACGAACGCUGGCGGCGUGCUUAACACAUGCAAGUCGAGCGAUGAAAUUUCCUUCGGGAAAUGGAUUAGCGGCGGACGGGUGAGUAACACGUGGGUAACCUGCCUCAUAGAGGGGAAUAGCCUUUCGAAAGGAAGAUUAAUACCGCAUAAGAUUGUAGUACCGCAUGGUACAGCAAUUAAAGGAGCAAUCCGCUAUGAGAUGGACCCGCGUCGCAUUAGCUAGUUGGUGAGGUAACGGCUCACCAAGGCGACGAUGCGUAGCCGACCUGAGAGGGUGAUCGGCCACAUUGGGACUGAGACACGGCCCAGACU